CUAAAGGGUUGUCUUCUUUAGGGUUGUCUUCUUUAGUUCGUCUUCUUUAGUUCCCCUAAAGGGGAUAAACCAAAGGGGUGUUCCCCNCUUCUUCCCCUAAAGGGGGACGGAGUCCCCUAAAGGGGAAGAAGGGGAUGAACCAAAGUCUUCGUCCCCUAAAGGGGAACCAAAGUCUCUUCUUCGUCUCUUCUUCUUCCCCUUUAGGGGACUCCGUCUUCUUUAGUUCCCCUAAAGGGGAUGAAGAAGUGCUCCCCUUCUUCCCCUUUAGUUCAUCCCCUUUAGUUCAUCCCCUUUAGGGGAACUAAAGGGGAUGAACUAAAGGGGUGAAAACGAAGGGGAAGAAGAAGGGGUUCCCCUAAAGGGGAAGAACACACCCCAAAGUCUCUUCUUCUUCCCCUUUAGGGGACUCCGUCUUCUUUAGUUCCCCUAAAGGGGUGAAAACGAAGGGGAAGAAGAAGGGGUUCCCCUAAAGGGGAAGAACACACCCCAAAGUCUCUUCUUCUUCCCCUUUAGGGGACUCCGUCUUCUUUAGUUCCCCUAAAGGGGAUGAAGAAGUGCUCCCCUUCUUCCCCUUUAGGGGACUCCGUCUUCUUUAGUUCCCCUAAAGGGGAUGAAGAAGGGGGUUCCCCUAAAGGGGAAGAACACACCCCUUCUUCCCCGUUAGUGUUCUUCGUCUUCUUUAGUUCCCCUAAAGGGGAUGAACCAAAGUCUCUUCUUCUUCCCCUUUAGGGGACUCCGUCUUCUUUAGUUCCCCUAAAGGGGAUGAAGAAGUGCUCCCCUUCUUCCCCUAAAGGGGAAGAAGGGGUUCCCCUAAAGGGGAAGAACACACCCCUUUAGUUCANN
This 843-nucleotide long non-coding RNA is filed under the name Volvox carteri. Its description in RNAcentral is "long non-coding RNA (VCAR_LNC002933)". Lineage: Eukaryota; Viridiplantae; Chlorophyta; Chlorophyceae; Chlamydomonadales; Volvocaceae. The record is from RNAcentral.